AAGUCGUAACAAGGUUUCCGUAGGUGAACCUGCGGAAGGAUCAUUACAGUUUUCUGCGCUUAACUGCGCGAAAUACACAGUGUUUUUACAUUCAAUUAUCUCCAGUGGGCGUAAGCACGCUGGAGGAAACCCAAAUUAACAUUUUAAUAAUUAGUCAAGUAGAUUUUUAAUAUCAAAACUUUCAACAACGGAUCUCUUGGUUCUC
RNAcentral lists this unclassified non-coding RNA (205 nucleotides) under fungal sp. RNAcentral describes it as "partial internal transcribed spacer region". The stretch from base 1 to 46 matches the Rfam family "Eukaryotic small subunit ribosomal RNA", at positions 1786 to 1831 of the family's 1831-position model. Lineage: Eukaryota; Fungi. The record is from RNAcentral.